This is a long non-coding RNA of Myxocyprinus asiaticus (Chinese sucker), 372 nucleotides long. RefSeq lists it as uncharacterized. The record is from RefSeq and is a predicted model, not a curated record. Lineage: Eukaryota; Metazoa; Chordata; Actinopteri; Cypriniformes; Catostomidae. The transcript has 4 exons.
AGUCUUUGUUCUAACAUGUUUUGUUUCAUAGUGGUGGCAAAUUCUGUGUGCCUGUUGGAGCCACCAGACAUCAUGCAGGACCCUGGUGAAGGCCCAUGUACAAUGGAGUAGGAUGAGGAGACUGUGUCUGUAUGUUCAAGGAAGCCGAGGACACUGAGACCCUUCUAGGAAUCUCUCAGACUGGGACCACAGGUGACAAAAAUGCAGAGAACAUAAAGACGGUGUACAAGCGCUACCUCCUCAGACAAAUAGAUGCACUGGAUGUAGACAUCCAAAAAACUGAAGAUGAGAAAUUUGGAACUGGAAAUCCAAUAAUUGGAGAAAGAUGCAAGAAGAACUGCCAUAAUCAAGACAAUGACACUGACCUUUUGA